This 554-nucleotide ribosomal RNA is filed under the name Colletotrichum nicholsonii. RNAcentral describes it as "eukaryotic LSU rRNA". The stretch from base 191 to 344 matches the Rfam family "5.8S ribosomal RNA". Lineage: Eukaryota; Fungi; Ascomycota; Sordariomycetes; Glomerellales; Glomerellaceae. The record is from RNAcentral.
ACAUUACUGAGUUACCGCUCUAUAACCCUUUGUGAACAUACCUAACUGUUGCUUCGGCGGGUUGGGGGGCCCCCCCCCCCCUGGGGACGCCCCCCCGGCCGCGCCCCCCUACGGGGCGCGGCGCCCGCCGGAGGAUAACCAAACUCUAUUUUAACGACGUUUCUUCUGAGUGGCACAAGCAAAUAAUUAAAACUUUUAACAACGGAUCUCUUGGUUCUGGCAUCGAUGAAGAACGCAGCGAAAUGCGAUAAGUAAUGUGAAUUGCAGAAUUCAGUGAAUCAUCGAAUCUUUGAACGCACAUUGCGCCCGCCAGCAUUCUGGCGGGCAUGCCUGUUCGAGCGUCAUUUCAACCCUCAAGCCCCGCUUGGUGUUGGGGCCCUACGGCGUACGUAGGCCCUUAAAGGUAGUGGCGGACCCUCCCGGAGCCUCCUUUGCGUAGUAACUAACGUCUCGCAUCGGGAUCCGGAGGGACUCUUGCCGUAAAACCCCCAACUCUUUUUCUGGUUGACCUCGGAUCAGGUAGGAAUACCCGCUGAACUUAAGCAUAUCAAUAA